RNAcentral lists this transfer RNA (91 nucleotides) under Glutamicibacter protophormiae. RNAcentral's name for it is "tRNA-Ala". The record is from RNAcentral. Lineage: Bacteria; Bacillati; Actinomycetota; Actinomycetes; Micrococcales; Micrococcaceae.
CAUCGUCUGCGCAGGUUCCCAGUCCGACCGCCUGGCACGUGGUUCCGGCGCCAGUGCCCAGCCGAGCGUGGUGCCGUUCUUCGGACAAUAU